Molecule: long non-coding RNA, 483 nt
Organism: Alnus glutinosa
Lineage: Eukaryota; Viridiplantae; Streptophyta; Magnoliopsida; Fagales; Betulaceae
Exons: 3
Source: RefSeq, a predicted model, not a curated record
UGGCCGAGAGAAGAGAUAAAGGGGGGGUUCUUUUUCCUUAUUUAUAAAAGUUGUGAUUUUCAAAUAUCCAACGAUUCAAUUUUUUAUCUGUCUUUGAAUCUAUGUUUCUACUGAUCGUUUUGAGGCUUUGCGUUGUUUGGAGCUUGGAAAAUUCUCCAAACACUGGGUAUUAUUUGGAUAAAUUUUUGGCAACUAUGCAGAUGUUUAUACUUUGGUUGCAGGCUUUGCGGAUAUAGAUAUUGACUCGUCCACCUAGCGUAUGAGUUGCUAUGAUUGGAGCAUAUCGCGACAGUCAUAAGUCACGGACUUAUGGGUAAUCCGCAUUUUGGGUAUUUUAUUUAUGGCUCGUGUCCUACGUGGCACAUGUAUUUGUUGAGCUUAUAUUUUAGUAUGUAAUUAGUGUAAUAUGUUUUAUAAGCCUUCUUGUAAAUGGCUCUUGUUGUAAUUAACUGUUAUGUAUUAGAUAUAUUUCCGCUUAUGAUA